This is a long non-coding RNA of Aplysia californica (California sea hare), 459 nucleotides long. RefSeq lists it as uncharacterized. The record is from RefSeq and is a predicted model, not a curated record. The transcript is spliced from 2 exons. Lineage: Eukaryota; Metazoa; Mollusca; Gastropoda; Aplysiida; Aplysiidae.
UAUAAAUCCGAGAGAGAGGCGGCUGGCAGUUCAGAAUACGUGGCAGCUCUUCUCUGUGCGAAGCCUUCUCAGCUGACUGGCAUUGGCGGCUCGUUUGAUUUCAGAAUCAACCCAUUGUCGCUGUGUUUAUAAGAACUCAACUGGAAGGAUUCGGUCGUGUGUGAGAGAUAGAGAGACAGUCUCUGUGAUUCAGACUGACCGACAAGAAAGUGCAAUAAAGAUAUUUUGAGUGACCUCCGAUUGGCUGUGUGUGUGGCGACCGGACUUUGUGCCUUUCCCUGUGUCGACGUCGAAGUCGUGGUGGGCGAAGAAAUCGCGCUGAUUGCUCUGGACGAGUGGAGAGAAAGACCAACAGCAACAAAAAAAAAAAAAAGAGAAAAACGAGAGAAGAAAGAGAGAGGCCACUUCUCAGGUGUCGACACGAAUUUGUAAGACAAACGAGAGAGAUAACGGAAAAAA